Molecule: ribosomal RNA, 472 nt
Filed under: uncultured bacterium
Lineage: Bacteria
Description: bacterial SSU rRNA
Rfam family: Bacterial small subunit ribosomal RNA
Source: RNAcentral
UAGGGAAUCUUCCGCAAUGGGCGAAAGCCUGACGGAGCAACGCCGCGUGAGUGAUGAAGGUCUUCGGAUCGUAAAACUCUGUUAUUAGGGAAGAAUAAAUGUGUAAGUAACUAUGCACGUCUUGACGGUACCUAAUCAGAAAGCCACGGCUAACUACGUGCCAGCAGCCGCGGUAAUACGUAGGGACCAAGCGUUGUUCGGAUUUACUGGGCGUAAAGGGCGCGUAGGCGGCAAUUCAAGUCAUCUGUGAAAUCUCCGGGCUUAACUCGGAACGGUCAGAUGAUACUGCUUUGCUAGAGUGCAGAAGGGGCAAUCGGAAUUCUUGGUGUAGCGGUGAAAUGCGUAGAUAUCAAGAGGAACACCUGAGGUGAAGACGGGUUGCUGGGCUGACACUGACGCUGAGGCGCGAAAGCCAGGGGAGCAAACGGGAUUAGAUACCCUCGUAGUCCCUGAGCGGGCUGGCAAGGCGCAU